CUGGCUCCAGACUUACUAUUGGAGAUGAGCUUCAGAGAGGAAUCCGGACACCUGGGCAUUAGUCUCCGCUGUCACCACGAGCUGUGUGACCUUGGACAAGUCACUUCAAGUCUCUGGAGUUGGUUUUCUUACUGGAGGCUACUUCUGUAUUCUCAAAGCCACCUAUGGCUUUGCAAUUUACUAGCUCUUUUUAGUUCCACUUAGCCUUUCCCGCGACACUCCACACCCGAGCGAGACCCGUCUUUUGUUCUGGGGGUGAAGGGGAGAAGGAGAGCUUCGCAAGGACCAGGCUGAGGAGGCCUUGGUACCAGCAGCUGUUCACUGGAGACUCGGGUCCCGGGAUGUCACCGGGCAACCCCACCGUGACCUUGUUCCCUCCCUGGCCCUUUUCUGGCCCGGCCUGAGUGAAGCGUCUGGGAGACGGUGGCGGGCACUGGGGCGGCGCAGAGCAGCGCCUGGAUAGCGGCCCGGACCUGGGGUGGCAGUCUGGCGGGGGUCCCUUUGGCACAGGCGUGCGCACAGCAACCUGCCUCUACCCGAGGCCACUCUGCCUCUGGAUUGGCCUGAGAGGACGCCACGGAUCACCCUUUCCCCCUCGGACACCGAUCGCGACACGCGCGCAGAGCCGCUACCUGCAGAUGGCCGUGCCCUGGACGGGUCUGGACUCGAGCAUCACACUGUGCUCCACUGUCCCCAAGGACUGGUACCACUGGAUUCUCCUGUGCUCUCCUGACUCUGCCUUUACUGGAGCCAUUCCUCGGGAUGAUCAGGCAUCAACUGUUCUUGAAAGUCCUGGCAUUCUGCGCAGUAAGAUGAUAUCAAGUGUGGCAUGUCACGUGGUGCUCAAAGAUUACUUAACAACAACAGAGAAUGUUAGAAAGG
Molecule: long non-coding RNA, 882 nt
Organism: Urocitellus parryii (Arctic ground squirrel)
Lineage: Eukaryota; Metazoa; Chordata; Mammalia; Rodentia; Sciuridae
Source: Ensembl